AUGGGUGCCUCCAUCUUUGCCUCUUCUUCCACAACUGCUUCGCCUAUCGCGAGGGGCAACCUAUGGGGCCCCGUCGCGACCGUGGCCUUCGGGUACGUCCUCGAGGUGGCCUGCGUGGGCGCCAUCGUCUUGCUGGCGCUGGCCACGGUCUACCUCCUGGAGCGCUCCCUGCUGCUUCUCUUCCUCGACGUGCUUCUCGUGCCCCUCACGUCGCUCUUCCUGGUCUACCUCACCGUGGUCUGCGCGGUGGCGGUCGUGGUCUUGGUGGCGAAGCCGGGGCGGCACGGCGCGGCGGCGGUGUCCCGCGCGUGGCGGCUGAUGGAGAGGAGGAGCGCGCGGGCGGCGCUCUACGUGGUCGCGAUGUGCGCGCUCGGCGCCGCGGUGUCGCCGGUGUAUACGCUGGCGCUGAGGUGGAGGCCGCGGAGCCCGUGCGCCGGGGUGGCCGCCGGGGCCGCCUAUGUGGCCCUGCUCGGCGCGUGGAGGUGUUCUCCGUCGCGGCCGUCACGGCGGCAUUUGAGGAUACCACUUUUGUGGUUCAUUGCAUUAUUCUUGAAGUUGGGUUGCGACGGUUCUAUACUCCUCGACGACACGGCCAACUUCACCGGCGAGAAGAGCGCAGAGCCGAACGCGAAGUCGAUGCGCGGCUACGAGAUCAUAGACGGCAUCGAGACUCGGGUCGAGGCCUCCUGCAACGCCACCGUCUCAUGCGAAGACAUCCUGGCCCUCACCGCCCGUGACGUCGGCUGCGACGGUUCCAUACUCCUCGGCGACACGGACAACUUCAUCGGCGAGAAGAACGCAGCGCCGAACACGAAGUCGGUGUGCGGCUACGAGAUCAUAGACGGCAUCGAGACUCGGGUCGAGGCCUCCUGCGAUGCCACCGUCUCAUGCGAAGACGUCCUGGCCCUCGCCGCACAUGACUCCGGCUGCGACGGUUCAGUACUCCUCGACGACACUGCCAACUUCACCGGCGAGAAGAACGCAGCGCCGAACGCGAAGUCGGUGCGCGGCUACGAGAUCAUAGACGGCAUCGAGACUCGGGUCGAGGCCUCCUGCAACGCCACCGUCUCAUGCGAAGACGUCCUGGCCCUCGCCGCAUGUGAUGUCGGCUGCGACGGUUCCAUACUCCUCGACGACACGGCCAACUUCACCGGCGAGAAGAACGCAGCGCCGAACGCGAAGUCGGUGCGUGGCUACGAGAUCAUAGACGGCAUCGAGACUCGCAUCGAGGCCUCCUGCAACGCCACCAUCUCAUGCGAAGACGUCCUGGCCCUCGCCGCUCGUGACUCCGUCAGCCUGAUACGCCGGCAUCAAGGCUCAACUAUGUUUUUCUUGUAUACAGCUACGCCAUGCUCUCUGGACUUCGACUAA
This 1371-nucleotide ribosomal RNA is filed under the name Triticum aestivum (bread wheat). RNAcentral describes it as "partial small subunit ribosomal RNA". The record is from RNAcentral. Lineage: Eukaryota; Viridiplantae; Streptophyta; Magnoliopsida; Poales; Poaceae.